GCGGAGGGCGAGUCCUGGCCGCAGGUUCGGCCGCCUCGCGCACCUGCAGCACGGGCCACAGUGAUAAGGCCCUACACGGUGGGAGUUGCCCACCGCGCCUCAGCUCGCAGUCCGCCGAGGUUCGCUGGGCCUCGCCGGUCCCUCCGGACGCCGAGCCGCUCGGGCACUAGGGCGUCCACCCGCCGGCCUUUUCUCCCGCAUGACCCCGCGCCACUCACCUGGCUGACGGUCCUCCGUCGAUCCGCCUCCGCGGCUGUCAGCCGCCGGGGAGUCUGUCCCCGGGCAGCGGCGAGGCCUGACGGCGGCCGGGCCGACGCCGCGCGCCAGCCGGGCUAACGGUGCUCUCGCCAGCCUCGCUUACCGGCCGCGGCUCCGCCCCUCACGCCGCGCCUGCCCGAGGGGGUCGCGCGCGCGCGUGCGGCCGC
RNAcentral lists this long non-coding RNA (425 nucleotides) under Rattus norvegicus (Norway rat). Its description in RNAcentral is "long non-coding RNA NONRATT024252". The record is from RNAcentral. Lineage: Eukaryota; Metazoa; Chordata; Mammalia; Rodentia; Muridae.